Molecule: ribosomal RNA, 491 nt
Filed under: uncultured bacterium
Lineage: Bacteria
Description: partial 16S ribosomal RNA
Rfam family: Bacterial small subunit ribosomal RNA
Source: RNAcentral
GUGAACGCUGGCGGUAGGCCUAACACAUGCAAGUCGAACGGCAGCACCGUAAGAGCUUGCUCUUACGGGUGGCGAGUGGCGGACGGGUGAGGAAUACCUCGGAAUCUACUUUUUCGUGGGGGAUAACGUAGGGAAACUUACGCUAAUACCGCAUACGACCUACGGGUGAAAGCAGGGGGUCUUCGGACCUUGCGCGAUUGAAUUAGCCGAUGUCGGAUUAGCUAGUUGGCGGGGUAAAGGCCCACCAAGGCGACGAUCCGUAGCUGGUCUGAGAGGAUGAUCAGCCACACUGGAACUGAGACACGGUCCAGACUCCUACGGGAGGCAGCAGUGGGGAAUAUUGGACAAUGGGCGCAAGCCUGAUCCAGCCAUACCGCGUGGGUGAAGAAGGCCUUCGGGUUGUAAAGCCCUUUUGUUGGGAAAGAAAAGCAGCAGGUUAAUACCCCGCUGUUCUGACGGUACCCAAAGAAUAAGCACCGGCUAACUUCGUG